RNAcentral lists this ribosomal RNA (425 nucleotides) under uncultured bacterium. Its description in RNAcentral is "partial 16S ribosomal RNA". It matches the Rfam family "Bacterial small subunit ribosomal RNA", at positions 354 to 796 of the family's 1533-position model. The record is from RNAcentral.
GUGGGGAAUCUUGCGCAAUGGGCGAAAGCCUGACGCAGCCAUGCCGCGUGAAUGAUGAAGGUCUUAGGAUUGUAAAAUUCUUUCACCGGGGACGAUAAUGACGGUACCCGGAGAAGAAGCUCCGGCUAACUUCGUGCCAGCAGCCGCGGUAAUACGAAGGGGGCUAGCGUUGCUCGGAAUUACUGGGCGUAAAGGGCGCGUAGGCGGACAGCUUAGUCAGAGGUGAAAGCCCAGGGCUCAACCUUGGAAUUGCCUUUGAUACUGGCUGUCUUGAGUACGGGAGAGGUGAGUGGAACUCCGAGUGUAGAGGUGAAAUUCGUAGAUAUUCGGAAGAACACCAGUGGCGAAGGCGACUCACUGGCCCGUUACUGACGCUGAGGCGCGAAAGCGUGGGGAGCAAACAGGAUUAGAUACCCCAGUAGUCC